RNAcentral lists this transfer RNA (65 nucleotides) under Plautia stali. RNAcentral's name for it is "tRNA-Tyr". Lineage: Eukaryota; Metazoa; Arthropoda; Insecta; Hemiptera; Pentatomidae. The record is from RNAcentral. RNAcentral also lists the same sequence under 2 other names.
AAUAGAGUGACUGAAUUUUAGGUGAUAAAUUGUAAAUUUAUUUAUGGCUGUAUAGCCCUCUAUUA